Molecule: ribosomal RNA, 463 nt
Filed under: uncultured bacterium
Lineage: Bacteria
Description: bacterial SSU rRNA
Rfam family: Bacterial small subunit ribosomal RNA
Source: RNAcentral
AUUGAACGCUGGCGGCGUGCUUAACACAUGCAAGUCGAUCGGUAACAGGUGUAGCAAUACAUGCUGACGAGAGGCGGACGGGUGAGUAAUGCUUGGGAAUCUGCCUAUUAGUGGGGGACAACCCGGGGAACUCGGGCUAAUACCGCAUACGCUCUACGGAGGAAAGCCGGGGACCGCAAGGCCUGGCGCUAAUAGAUGAGCCCAAGUCGGAUUAGCUAGUUGGUAGGGUAACGGCCUACCAAGGCGACAAUCCGUAGCUGGUCUGAGAGGACGACCAGCCACACCGGAACUGAGACACGGUCCGGACUCCUACGGGAGGCAGCAGUGGGGAAUAUUGGACAAUGGGGGCAACCCUGAUCCAGCGACGCCGCGUGGGUGAAGAAGGCCUGCGGGUUGUAAAGCCCUUUCGGGUGGGAAGAAAGUCUCGACCUAAUACGUCGGGACCUUGACGUAACCCACUAAA